AAGGCGGGACGAUCUAUCGCUGCCGGGCGCUGAAACCCGGCAGAGGAAAGUCCGGACAGGACAGGGCACCGCACUGUGGAAAGCACAGGUAGACGGAAGUUUACGUGCAACGUAGAAGAAAACAACCGCCGGCAGGCCCUUCGGGAGCCUGCGGUAAGGGUGAGAACACGGAGGUAAGAUUCCGUGAUUCCGUAUGGCGACAUCCGGAAUGUACGUACUGCGGCCUGCAAUGCCAAAUAUACUGACACCAAGGGCUGCCCGUCCUUGUCAGGGGGUAGGCAGCAUAGAUAAAUGAUAGAUUUAAAAACAGAAUCCGGCUUACGGCCCCGCCUUUUUU
This 337-nucleotide RNase P RNA is filed under the name Candidatus Merdivivens faecigallinarum. RNAcentral describes it as "RNase P RNA component class A". It matches the Rfam family "Bacterial RNase P class A". From Rfam's summary of the family: Ribonuclease P (RNase P) is a ubiquitous endoribonuclease, found in archaea, bacteria and eukarya as well as chloroplasts and mitochondria. Its best characterised activity is the generation of mature 5'-ends of tRNAs by cleaving the 5'-leader elements of precursor-tRNAs. The record is from RNAcentral. Lineage: Bacteria; Pseudomonadati; Bacteroidota; Bacteroidia; Bacteroidales; Muribaculaceae.